UUAAAACCAUUUUCACCAAAAACCAAACUAUGAACACCAAGAACAAAACCAUGAACACUUUUUCAAGAUUUGUGUAUUCUUGGUGAUUUUUCAAACCCAAAAACAAAAGUGACAAGGUUUCUUCUUUCUAGCUUUAAAAGGAUGUGAGAGUGGUUUACAAUAAAACACAAACACAACCCCAAAACCACCCCCAAAACCGUGCCAUCCCUUUGGUUCAAAACCCCAAAUUUUGUUCAUGACUUAUUCUUCAUUCAUGCAUCUAAAACACCCUUUUACAUGCAUAUCUUUUUCAACUCUUGAUUUAUAUUUUUCAACCAUUGAAAAAACAAAAGAUAAACAUACUUUAAAUGAAGAAAUAAUAUGUCAAACUAGUUCUAAACUCAUUUUUCAUUCAUGCAUACAAAACAUCUUUUGCAUCCAUACCUUUCUCAACUAUUGACUAACAUUUUUCAACUAUUGAAAAACAAAAGAUAAACAUACUUUGAAUGAAACAAUAAUAUGUCAUACAUAACAUUAAUACCCAUAUGCAUAAAAUCCAAAAGGACACAUUAUACAUAAACCUUUGGCUCUGAUACCACUUGAAGGGAAAACUAUGAGAUUCAUGUAUGGGAUUUCUAAAUGACUAUCAUGCAUAUACAAAACAAUUU
This 647-nucleotide long non-coding RNA is filed under the name Malus domestica (apple). RNAcentral describes it as "long non-coding RNA (MDOM_LNC013091)". Lineage: Eukaryota; Viridiplantae; Streptophyta; Magnoliopsida; Rosales; Rosaceae. The record is from RNAcentral.